UUCGUCACUGAGAAGAGAUUGGUGCAGAGGAACAUAUCGUUCCAGGUCAAUAGUAUUGAGACUUUGGCAGACAAGGCGCUAUUCCGCAGCUCUUCUAAUCGUCCCUCUACACCACCUGGUUCUUCUCUCGGUUAUCCUGAUAGUGUGCAGGCGUCGCAUGCUGAUUCUAAGAAACGUCGCUCUGUUGUAUGCUUGCCUCUGGGAUCAUGGAAGAAACUGUCUUUUGGAGCAGUCCCGCCUAAAGAGAAAUUCGUAGCGCCACCUCCUACUUCUGACGAAAAUCAGCAUCUUCGCUGAUGGUAAUGGACCUACCAACCAGCUGCCUGCUAUAGUGCUUGAUCAGCACCGUCCCACCUCAGAGUUCUCAUCUGCUUGCGGACAGUCCAGGCUUAGGUUACUCCGUGCUGCACUG
Long non-coding RNA from Oryza brachyantha (malo sina), 412 nucleotides. RefSeq lists it as uncharacterized. The record is from RefSeq and is a predicted model, not a curated record. NCBI's taxonomy places the organism in Eukaryota, Viridiplantae, Streptophyta, Magnoliopsida, Poales, Poaceae. The transcript has 4 exons.